UAACGGCCCGAAGGCCGGGGCGCCAAGUUCGUCCGGCGGAAAAAGGCCACAAAACCGGGUGGGCUAUAGCCUUGGGGGGUGGGGCUGGCCAAGUUCGUCCGCCGGACUCGGAAUGGCGCGAGACUUUGCGAGGCGCCUCCGUGUGCCAAAAAUAGGCUACGGGCACAGCCGCGCCCAAAAAUAACCUCGCGAAGGCCGGGACGCCAAGUUCGUCCAGCGGAAAAAGUCCACAAAAACGGGUGGGCUAUAGCCUUGGGGGGUGGGGCUGGCCAACUUCGUCCGCUGGACUCGGAAUGGCGCGAGACUUUGCGAGGCACCUCCGUGUGCCAAAAAUAGGCCGCGGACACAGCGGCGCCCAAAAAUUAACGGCCCGAAGGCCGGGGCGCCAAGUUCGUCCGGCGGAAAAAGGCCACAAAACCGGGUGGGCUAUAGCCUUGGGGGGUGGGGCUGGCCAAGUUCGUCCGCCGGACUCGGAAUGGCGCGAGACUUUACGAGGCGCCUCCGUGUGCCAAAAAUAUGCUACGGUCGGAGCCGAGCCCAAAAGUAACGGCCAGAAGGCCGGGGCGCCAAGUUCGUCCAGCGGAAAAAGGCCACAAAAACGGGUGGGCUAUAGCCUUGGGGGGUGGGGCUGGCCAAG
Molecule: long non-coding RNA, 637 nt
Filed under: Citrus x clementina
Lineage: Eukaryota; Viridiplantae; Streptophyta; Magnoliopsida; Sapindales; Rutaceae
Description: Citrus clementina (C. clementina) long non-coding RNA (CCLE_LNC001710)
Source: RNAcentral